Long non-coding RNA from Hypanus sabinus (Atlantic stingray), 7299 nucleotides. RefSeq lists it as uncharacterized. The record is from RefSeq and is a predicted model, not a curated record. The transcript is spliced from 5 exons. Lineage: Eukaryota; Metazoa; Chordata; Chondrichthyes; Myliobatiformes; Dasyatidae.
UGAUGGUUGAAGGUUAACUGUUCUUGAACCUGGUAGUGCGCGUCCCAUACCUUCUACCUGAUGGCAGCAGUGAGAAAGGAGCAAGGCCUGGGAGGCUCCACGGAGAGGAUGUUUCCUAUCACGACGGAGUCUAGAACCAAGGGCACAGCUGCAGCAUACAAGGACGUUGCUUUUGAACUGAGAAGAGGAGGAAUUGCUUUGGCUUGAGAGUGGUGGAUCUGUGGAAUUCAUUGCCACAUAUGGCUGUGGAGGCCAAGUCACUGGGUAUAUUAAAGCGGAUGAACAAGCCUCAUCACUUUAGCAGUCACUGUAACUUAUACAAAGUUCAGAGUUCAAAGUAAGUGUAUCACCAAAGUACAUAUAUGUCCACAUAAACAAGAUUCAUUUUCUUGAGGGAACACUCAACAAAUCCAUAAUUGAAUAAUAACCAUAACAGUAUCAAUGAAAGACCGCACCAACUUGGGUGCUCAAUCAGUGUGUGCAAGAGACAACAAACUGUACAAAUCAAAAAGGAAGAAAUAAUAAAAAAUAAAUAAGCAGUGAAUAUCGAGUACAUGAGACAAAGAGUCCAUGAAAGUGAGUCCAUUAGUUGUGGGAAGAGUUCAGUGAUGGGGGCCAGUGAAGCUGACUGAAGUUAUCCCCUCUGGCUCAAGAGCCUGAUGGUUGAGGGCUAGUAACUGUUCCUGAACUUGGUGGUGUGAGUCCUGAGGCUCAUGUACCUCUUCCUGAUGACAGCAGCAAGAAGACAGCGCACCCUGGGUGAUGUAGGUCCCUAAUAAUGGAUGCUGCUUUCUUGAGACAGCGUUUUGUGUAGAGGAGCCCAGUGGUGGGAAGGGUUUUACCGGUGAUGGGCUGGCCCAUAUCCACUACGAGUUGUAGGAUUUUCCAUUCCAAGCUAUGAUGCAACCAGUCAAUAUACUUUUCACUACACUACUAUAGAAAUUUGCCAUAAUUUCAGAUGUCAUGUUGAAUCUCCACAAACUCCUAAGGAAAAUAGAGGUGCCGCUGUGCUUUCUUUGUAAUUGCACUUAUAUGCUGGGCCCGGGACAAGUCCUCUGAAAUAAUAACACUGAGGAAUUUGAAGUUGCUGACUCUCUGCACCUCCGAUCCUCCAGUGAGGACUGGCUCAUGGACUUCUGGCUUCUCCUCCUCCUGAGGUCAAUAAUCUGCUCGUUGGCCUUGUUGUGGCACCACUCAGCCAGAUUUUCAAGCUCCUUCCUUACUGCUGAUCCAUCACCACCUUUGAUUCGGCCCAGACAGCGGAGUCAUCAGCAAACUUGAAUAUGGCACUGGAGCUGUGCUUAGCCGCACAAGCAUCAACACACACACACACACGCAUGCAGAGGCAUCCGCUGGAGCAUAUAGAGAAAACUGCAACUCAAUGACGUACAAGUGAAACAUUUAAGGACUUUUGUGUCCUUGAGCCCCAGUUUAACUUCCCCUGUCUAGAUACACCCGGACAAGUAUUUAGUUCUGAUGAAAGUUGCCCUUUCUAGAUACACCCGGACAAGACUUUAGUUCUGAUGAAAGAUCAACAACUAGGAAGAGUGAUUUUUCUCUCUCCAUGGAUACUGCCUUUCUGCAUUUCACAUUUUAUUUUGUAUAUCCAGCAACCACAUGGCUUUGCUCUGUAUUAACACACACAAUGUGCUGGAGGAACUCAGCGGAUCAGACAACAUCUAAAGAGGGGGAUUAACAGCUGAUGUUUCAGGCCAGGUCCCUUCAUCAGGACUCAUGAUUUGCUCUGUAUUUCUUAAGUAACUAACAGCCCUUGGAAUAUUCCUGUCACAUUAAUAAAUUACUUAGCCAGCACAGUCUGUACCAAUGACCAAACCCAGCAAUCUUCAGCCUCCUCCUGUGUAAGAUCAAAAUAAAAUUACCCUGUCACCUCCUGCAAAAUACUUUUUAAAACGUUAGUCAGUCCUCAAGCAGUGAGAGCAAGAGUUGCAGAAUUAAAGAUUUCACCCGAAUCUCCUCUCGCAAACUCAUCAACAAUAAUUAAUUGAUUGCUUGGAAGUGAUAUCCUGACAAUAAUCGACCACGGCCAGGAAGAGCCAACGUGCAAGUGACUCAUUACAUCACUUGAACUGCUCCCGGAGAUUACAGCUGGGUAAUUACUCAAAACAACAAAAACGCACCUCCCAAGAAGACGUCAAAGGAGGCCAUUAAAGCCACCAAUGUUCUUGCACCUCAACACUAGCAACGCAACAGGUAUGAUUGUUUGCAGUAUCAGUGAUGGUGAGAGGGCACAGGCGGCUCUCUGCUUUUCAAUAUACACUCGGUCAUCUCACUUUAUUAGACACCUCCUAAUACUGAGUGUAUGAUCACAGUCCCUUGCUGCUGUGGCCCAUCCACUUCCGGGCUUGAUUUGUUUUGCAUUCAGAGAUGCUCUUCUGCGCACCACUGUUUUAGCGUGUGGCUAUUUGAGUCUUCCUGUCCGCUUUAACCCCUGGCCGUUCUCCUCUGACCUCUCUCACUGACAAGGCACUUUCACCCACAUACUGCUGCUCACUAGAAUUUUUUUUUUGUUUUUGCACUGUCCUUUGUAAACUGUGGAGACUGUUGUCAGUGAAAACCCCAGGAGAUCAGCAGUUUCUGAGAUACUCAAUCUACCCUGUCUGGCACCAACAAUCAUUCCACAGUCAAAGUCUGUUAGAUCACAUUUCUUCCCCAUUCUGAUGUUUGGCCUGAACAACAGCUGAACCCCUUGACCAUGUCUGCAUGCUUUAUGCAUAGAGUUGCUGCCACAUGAUUGGCUGAUUAGAUAUUUACAUUAACAAGCAUGGGUACAGGUGUACCUAACGUAACACUCUGGAAAAGGUUUCCCUGCCAAUGUAAUGGUCUUUCUGUAGAAGCAGUAUUUGGGUUAUGGCUAAUGAUAAUGGGUGCUUUGGAGUGUGAGCCAUCCAAUCAUGAGAGAAGGUUUUUAAGUUAAGUGCCUGACACUGGAGUGAGCUGGGAUCCUUUGUUCAGCGAAAGAUGAAGAGAGAAGAUGCUGGAGAGAAGUGGUCAUAGGAUUUGACCCAGUGGGGGACUGUAAUUCGAAGGAGCAAGGGUGCCGACAUCGACUGAGGAUCGGAGAAUAUGUCUGUCAGAAGCUGAGCUCCAGCUUGUGCACAUUUGACUGUUUAAUUAUAAUGGGCCCAUCUUGGUUUUUGCUUCCUUUUCUUUACUAACCCUUUUUAGUUCAGUUAAGAUUUAUAAGUAUAAUUCCUUUAAUCAUAUGCAGUGUGCUGUCUGUUGGCCCUGAGUUGUAACAGGGUAAACUGGGGUUUGGGGCGGGACUGAGUGUGUAUUCCCUAGAUCUACGCAGCCCAAAGAAACCGGGUGGGGGAGGGAGGGGGUGGUUUCACUAAUAAAGUGGCUACUGGGAGUAUGUUGUAGAUCAUUUGGAGUCAGCUUGGUUUACAGGUGGGCUCUGAGUCAGAAGCUUGAGGCUUCAAACCCCUCUCUGGUCACUUGGUGCAGGCUGGCACCUUCAGUGAGGCCUUAAAUCCACACCUAACCUGCAUCCAAAGGGAAGGCAAAGAUAAAGAUUAGCUUUAUUUGUCACAUGCGCAUUGGAACAUAGCGUGAAAUGCGUUGCUAGUGUCAAAUCUCAUCAGCGAGGAUUAUGGAAGGCCUGUCAUUCCUCCGGUGUCCACACAGCACACCCACACUUACCAACCCCAACCAUAACUGUACGUCUUGGAAUGUGGCAGGAACCAGAGGGGAUAACUUCACUCUACUUCACUGAACUGUUCCCACAACCUAUGGACUCACUUUCAAUGUCUCUUCAUCUCAUAUUCUCAAUAUUUAUUGCUUAUUUAUUUAUUGGUAUAUAUUUUUUCUUUCUUUUUGUAUUUGCACAGUUUGCUUUUACCAGCUAUGGGAAUCGAACCCCAAUCGGUGAUUGCAGGCACUGUACAGCAACUGUCCUGACCACUACAUUACCCUGCCACCUCAAAGCAUCAUCACACAGCAUUAACUUAAAGAAGAACAGAGAGGCAGCACUCUCAGGCGUAGCAGAUCCUGCAGAGUAUAUCGGACAUUUUCUGAUUUUGUUUCAGAUUUGCAGCAUCUGCAGUUUUGAUCUCAAAAAAUGACAAGCUUCAUUGCCUAAUGUGUAGAUUUGUUGAGUACACCUACAGAAAAAGAAUCUCAGGGCUGUAUGUGGUGACGCGCAUGGACCCUGAUAAUGAAGUUUACUUGAACAAGUUUUGAUCAUCGUGUGAAACAAAGCAAGAGACAGCACUGUAAUGAGUCGUUCCAGUCCAGCGAGUCCAAUUAUACCCAUGUGACCAACUAGCGUAUUAACCCAAAAGUCUUUGGAGUUUGGAGGAAAUUGGACAGCCCAGAAGAAAGCCACGUGGUCGCAGGGAGAAUGUACAAACUCCUUACGGGCAGUGGUGGGAAAUGAAUCCGGGUCGCUGGUGCUGUAAUAGCAUUACACUAACUGCUACAUUGCCGCACCCCUCCCAUUGCGUUCGUCUCUACUACAUGACAGCGGGGGCUAAGCAAUGCACCAUGAAAAUAUCACUUCUACUUUGAGCAACUAUGCUUAACGCUUUGAGCAUCUCAAAGUUGGAUUUCACUGAACAGUCAGUUCAGUCAAAUCUGGAGAAGGGUUGUAUUCGUAUAAUAACUCCAAUUGGUACGAUGUUCUCCUUGGGGGUUGUCUAUUGGCAGGUCCUCAGGUGUCUGUAGAGGCCAGUCCAGGAUCCACAUACUCUGGUGCGGUGAGGGCAAGAGUAAGUGCUGACUGUGGUUCGUGGUCGGGUCUUUUAAUUGUUCAGUCUCUCCUUUCACAACUACCACUUGUUCUCAGUGGCACAGCGUGAUCGCUGUCAUGUAACCCAGCUCCCUCUUGAAUAGGUGCAUCCACUGGGUGCGAUGUCCUCCCAGUUUUUAUAUGCAAUGUUGAACUCCUUCAAACUGAUUUUGAUGUUAUCUUUAAAGUGUUCCCUUUGCCCACCAGGGGCUUGCUGACCUCCCUUCAACUGGGAGUAUAGCGUGUGUUUGGGGAGAUGUGAGUUAGGCAAGGGAAGGGUACCCUUCAAUGUACCACCAUCACCACGAGUCUUACAUGUGACUCAGGCUUAAACCUCCAUCCUCCCCUCCCACAUUGGGGCUCUGACUGAACCCUUACCACCAUCAUCCAUCUGUGAUGCACUGGCACACUCACAUAGCAAACACCAAACAAGGCGAGGACAGCCUUCAAUCACGUCAAUAAGACGGUGAGCCGCGGCCUCCGUUGUAACUGUGGCUCAAUUGUUUAGGUUUGUAGAAUGGUUUUGGGGCCAAAGAGGGGAGUUGGGGCUGAGGUUGGGGUUUAGGUAUGGGAUUAUGGGGGGGGGGGGAUGGGGGAGUUAGAGGCCAGGUAGGAGCCUAGGCCUCUGCUCCGUGCUCAAAGGCCAGUGACAUGGACCUAUGAUGGAGGACAUCCGGUGAGCACUGUGGAUAAGGAUGAGGGCUGGGAAACCCCUCCCCUCAGCAGGUCCCAAGAUAGGAGUUCUGUGAGGGCAGGAGGCACAAAAGGCCGGUGGUCCCUUAGCUACACCAGUCGGCAAGACCAGGGUUUGAGGCCUGAAGGUUGGGGUCCUCAUAAUCAGCAUCUCGAAAGUCCAGAUGUCGAGGCACAACAGUGGAGACCCUGGGUCUGCAGGCCUACUGGGAAAGUCAGAGGCCCAAUAAUGCAAUUGUGCAAGCCCAUUGAGGGCUGGAGGUCUGGAGGUGGUCUGUCCUGAGGUUAGGGGACUGUCUGUAUGUAUGGGUGGGAUGGUGGGGGGGGGGUGAAAGGACCUGUCCAGCUAUUGUUGCUUCAUUGCUGUUGUUCUGUGAACAUGAUGGGCACCUAUGUUGGCACUGCAAUGCCAGACGUCAUGUUUUCACAUCUCCUCCCAGCACAUCCUCAGGUUAAUAAAUACAUUUGGCCGCUCACGACCAUACUAUGUAACAGUUUCUUCCUCCGAGCUAUCAGACUCCUCAAUACCCAGAGCCUGGACUGACACUUUACUGCCAUAUUGUCAUGUCUAUUAUUUAUUGUACUGCCUGCACUGUUUUGUGCACUUUAUGCAGUCCUGGGUAGGUCUGUAGUCUAGUGUAGUUUUUUCUGUGCUGUUUUUUAUGCAGUUCAGUCUAGUUUUAGUACUGUGUCAUAUCACACCAUGGUCCUGAAAAACCGUUGUGUCAUUUUUACUAUGCACUGUAGCAGCAGUUAUGGUCGAAAUGACAAUAAAAGUGACUUGACUUGACAUCUAAAAUCUGAAUUUGAAAGCGAGAAAUAGCCGUAUGGGAGAAAGGGCGCUCAAGAGGUAGAAAAGGGAGUCACGAGUCUGGUGAAAAAGUGGUGGAAAUCCCCGGACAAGCAAGCGUCACUGGAGGGGGAAGACAGAAGCAGGGAAAUAAAACUCUGUGAAAGUGAUUCCGCCAGGAAGCAGCUUGCAAGCGCGCUCUCAGCAAGUGUAAUUCAUUCGUAAAUGAUGCAUUGUAAACUGGGGGGGGGGGGAGAAAUAACAGCGACGCCCGAAAGUGCAGCGCUGGAGAGCCCAGUGCAUAACCGAAGCAAACCCGGAACCGGGACGGGUCCGGGCGGGCGACGUGUCAGCGGCGAGCCAGCUGGAGCGGCGGGUCACGUGGGCGGGGCGGGGCGGGGCCAGUGACGUCACGGGCCCGGAGUAGCCAUGUGCUCGGUGUUCACGUGGCGGAGGCUCCAGCUGGGGUUCGCGCUGCGCAACUCUCAGGUCGGCAGGGCCACCAGCAGUCAGUCCACAGAUUAAACCCAUCUGCAUCGUGGAUACUCCCCCCCAACCCCGAAAGCUGCAUUAUUUACCAAUCCAGGGAAGCCCUUCCUCAUAACAAUUAAAACGCCGUACAGGUUAUUGCUUCGAACAUUUUUUGGAGCUCGGUUUUGUCAAUUUUGAAGUCAACUUUGCAAAGGGAGAUGAAAAAUAACUGCAUUGCUCCACGCUGAUAUUAAGGAACAAAAUGGCGGUAGAUUUAGCCGUGAUCCAGGGAAGGGAAGGGCUGGAACCCGACCGCCCCCGCCUGCCUACUUCUCCAUCGCGUGCGUGACAAAUGCAUUUUAAAACAUCUACUGUGCGGGUAGAAUACUUAUCUUUUUGUCUUUAUUUUAGUUGACGCGUGCAAAAGAAUUCAGGGAAUAUCUGCCCCCUCUGUUUUUAAAAUCUAUAUUUACCUUCAGAAUUUGAACUUUGGAAACCCAACCUUCUCUUAAAAAAACAUUUUGUUUGAUCUCAAAACCAGUCUCGUUGGCAAUUACAGAAGGAACAAACAAAAAAUAAAGAACGCUUUACUUCC